Molecule: ribosomal RNA, 253 nt
Filed under: uncultured bacterium
Lineage: Bacteria
Description: partial 16S ribosomal RNA
Rfam family: Bacterial small subunit ribosomal RNA
Source: RNAcentral
UACGUAGGGUGCGAGCGUUGUCCGGAAUUACUGGGCGUAAAGAGCUCGUAGGUGGUUUGUCGCGUUGUUCGUGAAAACUCACAACUCAAUUGUGGGCGUGCGGGCGAUACGGGCAGACUGGAGUACUGCAGGGGAGACUGGAAUUCCUGGUGCAGCGGUGGAAUGCGCAGAUAUCAGGAGGAACACCGGUGGCGAAGGCGGGUCUCUGGGCAGUAACUGACGCUGAGGAGCGAAAGCGUGGGGAGCGAACAGG